RNAcentral lists this ribosomal RNA (451 nucleotides) under uncultured bacterium. RNAcentral describes it as "bacterial SSU rRNA". It matches the Rfam family "Bacterial small subunit ribosomal RNA", at positions 354 to 796 of the family's 1533-position model. The record is from RNAcentral.
GUGGGGAAUCUUGCGCAAUGGGGGAAACCCUGACGCAGCAACGCCGCGUGGGUGAUGAAGGCCUUCGGGUCGUAAAGCCCUGUCAGGUGGGAAGAAACAUGCCGAUAUGAAUAAUGUCGGCACUUGACGGUACCACCGGAGGAAGCACCGGCUAACUCCGUGCCAGCAGCCGCGGUAAUACGGAGGGUGCAAGCGUUGUUCGGAAUUAUUGGGCGUAAAGCGCGUGUAGGCGGUCGGGUAAGUCAGAUGUGAAAGCCUUCCGCUCAACGGAAGAAGUGCAUUUGAAACUGCCUGGCUAGAGUACGGGAGAGGAGAGUGGAAUUCCCGGUGUAGAGGUGAAAUUCGUAGAUAUCGGGAGGAACACCAGUGGCGAAGGCGGCUCUCUGGUCCGAUACUGACGCUGAGACGCGAAAGCGUGGGGAGCAAACAGGAUUAGAUACCCGGGUAGUCC